RNAcentral lists this small nucleolar RNA (75 nucleotides) under Chinchilla lanigera (long-tailed chinchilla). RNAcentral's name for it is "Small nucleolar RNA SNORD28 (ENSCLAG00000019713.1)". It matches the Rfam family "Small nucleolar RNA SNORD28". Rfam says of the family: U28 is a member of the C/D class of snoRNA which contain the C (UGAUGA) and D (CUGA) box motifs. U28 is encoded within the U22 snoRNA host gene (UHG) in mammals and is thought to act as a 2'-O-ribose methylation guide for ribosomal RNA. The record is from Rfam by way of RNAcentral. Lineage: Eukaryota; Metazoa; Chordata; Mammalia; Rodentia; Chinchillidae.
GUCAGAUGAUUUGAAUCGAUAACUUGAUGGCUCUGUGAAGUAUGACAGUUAUAGCAUGUUAGAGUUCUGAUGGCA